AUUGCUUUUCUUCCCCAAUAUGGUAUCAAAGCUAAAGCUCCGUUGGCUCUGAAAUUCACAAAAUUUGGUUCGAGUUUUUCUGCCAUGGCUACAGAUUCUUCGAAUCAAUUGCCACACAUUCUAGCAUCAUCAUCGACGAGCAAUUCCGCCAUUGUUGAUGGAUCUAGCCCCUAUUUUCUUCACCACUCAGAUAAUCCAGGUCUCAUAUUUGUUUCGCAACCUCUGACAGGAGACAAUUAUGAAUCCUGGAGUCGAGCAAUGGUGAUAGCCCUGUCUGUGAAGAAUAAAUCUGGUUUUAUUGAUGGAUCAAUUCCAAAGCCUAAAAAUUCUGACGAUCUCCUUAAUCCAUGGAUCUGCAAUAACAAUAUGGUAAUUUCCUGGAUCCUUAACUCUGUAUCCAAAGAAAUUUCUGCAAGUUUGAUAUAUUAUGAAUCUGCACAUGAGAUUUGGAUGGAUCUCAAGGAGCGUUACCAACAGAAAAAUGGUCCACGCAUUUUUCAGUUGAAACGCGAAUUAAUGAACCUCACAUAGGGACAAUUAUCUGUUAAUACCUACUUCACUAAGUUGAAGACUGUUUGGGAAGAACUUAGUAAUUACAGGCCUAUAUGAUCGUGUGGAAAAUGCACAUGUGAAGGAAAUAAGAAAUUGGCUAAACAUUAUCAAAUGGAGUACGUUAUGUCAUUUUUAAUGGGACUCCAUGAAUCAUUUGCUCAAAUCAGAGGGCAGCUGCGGUUGAUGGAUCCAAUUCCAUCUACUAACAAAGUGUUUGCUCUUGUGACUCAAGAAGAACAUCAAAGGAAAAUGAACUUGAACACAGAUGUGUUAGGCCUUGCUAGUUCAAUGGCCUUUUAUGCGAAGAAUGAAACCUGAAAGCCUGCCAUGGGACAAUCAAAUAAUAAACAUUAAAAAAAGGAUAUACCUAUUUGCACAUAUUGUGGAUAUUCUGGUCAUGCAGUGGAUAAAUGCUACAAGUUACAUGGUUUUCCCCCGGGGUAUAUGCCCAAACAUAGGUCUGAUUUUAACAAUCAAGCAGGGUCGAGUACUUAGACACGUGGUGCAAUUACCAACUUGGUUUCUGAUUAUGUAGCUGAUCAGACUUCAAGUGUCAAAACUUUUAUGCAGACAUUAAACCCUACACAAUGUCAACAUUUGUUGAACAUGCUAAACUCUCAUCUCACAACAACCACGUUGAAUACAGAUGUGGAGGAAAAAUGUGAUCACAUUUCAGGAUCUUCACAAGUUGAAGACGAUUGGCAAGGGUAAAAGAAUUGGAGAUUUAUAUGUGAUACAAGUGCAACCUCUUGCUCCAGUACCAAAUCCAUGUGAUCCUUCUGGAAAGAUUUGUAAUUCUGCUCAUUUGAGGAAUAAUAAUGUCCCUACUGAUAUUUGGUAGACUAGGCUACUUAUCAUUUAAAAGGUUGAAUUUGUUAAAGGACCAGUUACAAUUUGAUUGUAAUAAUAAGAAAGGUGGAGCAUUUACCCCCUGUUCUAUUUGUCCCUUAGCUAAGUAAAGGAGGCUUUCUUUUGUUUCUAAAAA
Olea europaea var. sylvestris is the source of this 1537-nucleotide RNA transcript. RefSeq lists it as uncharacterized. The record is from RefSeq and is a predicted model, not a curated record. Lineage: Eukaryota; Viridiplantae; Streptophyta; Magnoliopsida; Lamiales; Oleaceae. The transcript has 2 exons.